RNAcentral lists this ribosomal RNA (440 nucleotides) under uncultured bacterium. Its description in RNAcentral is "partial 16S ribosomal RNA". It matches the Rfam family "Bacterial small subunit ribosomal RNA", at positions 338 to 795 of the family's 1533-position model. The record is from RNAcentral.
CCUACGGGGGGCAGCAGUGGGGGAUAUUGCACAAUGGAGGGAACUCUGAUGCAGCGACGCCGCGUGAGGGAAGAAGGUUUUCGGAUUGUAAACCUCUGUCUUCGGUGACGAAACGAGACGGUAGCCGAGGAGGAAGCCACGGCUAACUACGUGCCAGCAGCCGCGGUAAUACGUAGGUGGCAAGCGUUGUCCGGAAUUACUGGGUGUAAAGGGAGCGUAGGCGGGAAAGCAAGUUGAAUGUUUAAGGUACGGGCUCAACCUGUACAAGCGUUCAAAACUGUUUUUCUUGAGUGGAGUAGAGGUAAGCGGAAUGCCUAGUGUAGCGGUGAAAUGCGUAAAUAUUAGGAGGAACACCGAUUGCGAAGGCAGCUUACCAAGCUACUUCUGACGUUGAGGCACGAAAGCGUGGGGAGCAAACAGGAUUAGAUACCCUUGUAGUC